CUGUAAGUUUUGCCUGGAACCACAGUCAUCGUGUAGGGAGAAGCGCAUUCCGGAUUUGUUUGGUUGCAUUCCCCGGCUGCUACUGGGUUUGGAGUUGAGCACUCGUAUCUUCCCUUUCCGUGUAUCAACAGUGACUGCAAAUUGGGAAUCAAUUAUUGACUUGUUUUCUUUUAUGUUAUGAGCAGUAAUUCAAUUGAAAGGCAUUAAUGGAUUAUGGAUCAGUACCUGAGGCUCCCCGACCCAACGGAAAGGUAUGGCUGAUAAUCCAGAAGCUUGCUCAUAAGUGCUUCUAUGGUACCAAUCAUUCAAAACAAUACUUCUGUCAUAGUCGUAAGCGAAAGGCUCAGACUCUCCAUCCGGAAGCGAAACUCGGAUUAAUCCGUAAACCCCUGCCUCCCUUUGCAUCCCGUAAUGAGCAUGGUACAGGUAUGUUCCAGGCUGCCAUAUCAAAUCAAAUGUACAUUCAGUAACAAGUCCAUUCAACUUGAUUUAUUGGAAUAGUAAUUUCGAAGUGUGCUUGCUUACCCUGUCAACCACGAACUUGUAUCUGAAAGUGUCCCCGGGGAGAAUAGGACACUGAGUGACGCCUUCUGUGCCGUCGGCCCAAGGAGAGCCUAUCUGCCGGAUUCCAUGCCAGUGGAUUGCGAC
This 648-nucleotide long non-coding RNA is filed under the name Linum usitatissimum (flax). Its description in RNAcentral is "long non-coding RNA (LUSI_LNC008135)". The record is from RNAcentral. Lineage: Eukaryota; Viridiplantae; Streptophyta; Magnoliopsida; Malpighiales; Linaceae.